Molecule: long non-coding RNA, 313 nt
Organism: Anguilla anguilla (European eel)
Lineage: Eukaryota; Metazoa; Chordata; Actinopteri; Anguilliformes; Anguillidae
Exons: 3
Source: RefSeq, a predicted model, not a curated record
GGACCCGUUCAGAGACACUGGCAGAUAUGGGCGUUUAUGGAGACUUAUGAGCGAGGCUGUAGCGGAGAUGGCGGCUUUGGCUCCGGCAGGCAUCGCAAAGACACCGUACCGCUUCUGUAAAGGGAAGGGAUGUGCAACACCCGCGUGCCCAAGCGCAUAUCAUCAGCCGUUCAGACCGAGCCGAAACACCGCGAUGCACACGCACCGAGCUCCGCUCUCCCGGGGAGCGGGAUCACAUCAGCCUCCCCGAUGCAUCUCAAAACGACAUUUGUGGUUCUCUGGGAAGCGUGGCAGGGGGAUUAGGCGAGUGUGU